Long non-coding RNA from Lagopus muta (rock ptarmigan), 2592 nucleotides. RefSeq lists it as uncharacterized. NCBI's taxonomy places the organism in Eukaryota, Metazoa, Chordata, Aves, Galliformes, Phasianidae. The transcript has 3 exons. The record is from RefSeq and is a predicted model, not a curated record.
CUGGGGAAGGAUCUCUUUUGGAGAUCGCUCUUGUUGGAGUCUUCUCAGUAAGCCUAGGACAGGGGGCACUGUUUCUCAGGAACCUGAAGCACGUUUGCUGAUCUGUGGGCAUUGACAACAGCCAAGAUAACACCAGUAACGUAUCUUGCAUGCUGGGGAGUUGAUCUCAUUCAGUUAUUUUACUCUCUUAUUCUCUCUCUGGUAAUUCCAAGAACUUCCUGAGCUUGUGCCCAGAUGCUGAUACCCAAGUGAAAGGAGAGCUCUGUUCCACACUGACAAGCAGAUGUUCUGAACUCUCUGCAAGGAGCUCUGAGCAUUCUGGCCAGCCCUGUACUGGAAACAUGAGACAUCCUAAUUCUUCUAUUCAAGCAAAAGCAGCACCUCAGGGGUGAGAGCUGGCUGCUGUAACUCCUCUUUUAGGCACUAUUUCUCUCCUUGAUUUUCACUGCAUGACACUGCUCACAAUUCAUCAUUAUUUACCAAGAUUGGAGCCUCUGGUGAUGACACCAAUGGGAUUUUUUCACCAACUUCCCAGGGCAGCCACAACUGGUUGGCCAUUAAAGGAUCUAUGUGCAAGUCAGCCCUGGAGCCAGGCCAACUUUCUCUUUCAAUUUCCCCUCCUUUUCUUCACCCUCACUGCCUGUUUUCCCUUUGGGAGACCUGUUGUAGUUUAGUGUUUCUUUUUCUUUUUUUUUUUUACUUUUUUCCCCUUUGUUUUUUUUUUUUGUUACUGUAUAUAGUGGAGUUUGAUCUGGCAACCAGCCAGGGGACCUGCAAUUGCUUUGUCCUUUGGUGUGCUGGGUUAAUUCGACUUCAAGUUUUUCUAUUGAGAAGCUGAUUAAGACCAAAGCAAAAAAAAAAAAAAAAAAAAGCCACAUCUGUAAGUGGAAGUAAACCUUUAGGUUAUCUCAGAGGCAAUCUCCUUAGUUCUUUUCUUUCUAGCUCUUCACCUUGACUUUUCUUUAGUUGUUAGCUCUUUCAUUUCCUUCACAGGUGCUUGAGGCACUUAAAGGAUGCUUCUCCCUUUCCCAGGCAGAUGCCACUUUCAACUCACCAAAUUGUACCCCUUAAAAGCAGAAGCACAACUACAAAGGUUAUAGCAUUGUAGUCAUGCUGGCUUGCUGAUAAAGGGAGGAGGCACUGCCUAGAAAAUACCAGCAAAUGGCAAGAAAGAAUGGGACUUUCUUCUAAAGUUUAGUAAGGAAUUGGGAACGGAUGACUUGGAUGCGUACCAGCCCUCAAGAGAGUCAGCAUGGGGAGGUAGGUGGGUAAAGGGGACUUUUCAAACCCCGGGUCUAUCAUUACCUGUUGGUAAUGGAACCUUCAAAUCCACCAACACCUCAUGGGAAAGUGAUACAGCAGCAUGGAGUUGUUCCAUUCUUGGGGUGUAUGAGGAUAACAUCUCAUUUCCAAUGAUUUGGGAAGAGCUACUGGAGAAGCUGCUACUCUGGCUUUGAUUUGGGCUAAUAAACAAGAACUGCUUGGGGGGGGGGAAAAAAAAAAAGUAGGAUGUAAUUUCAGGAAAUAAAUCACAAAAUAAUGGAGUGCACAGUGCCAAGAGAAGGGGAGUGAGAACAGCAGAAUGAGGAUAAUGGUCUGCAAAAAAUCUCUGGGAACUGGUAGGUGACAUCUCUAGGGAAGAUAAUCUGAGGGAUGAAGAGAGCAGGGAAGCUGGCAAUUACCUAAAACGACUGCAUUAGAAGCACCUAAACAAGCCAUCUCGAUGCAGAGGGACAAGAGGAAGGUGGCUAAGAGACCUGGUGGAUAUGAGGCCCUAAAGGAGUUGCAGAGAAAGGGAAAUGAAAACAGGGACCCAGCAAUGAGGAGAGCAGAUGCACAGACACAAGCAGAACACACUCCAAUACGCCAUCAGUUUAAUGGCUGUGGAAAACUACUUUCUAAGUGCAUGGGAAGGAGAACGAGAGCUAAGGAGAGCCCAAGCUCUUUGCUUCUUGAAUGGAGGAGAGCCAAGAGUCGCAGUGCAGGAACCCUGUGUGGGCUGAGCUUCAGCCCUCCCUCCCAUCCAGCUCAUUAGGACAGGCUUCAAACCAGCCUGGAGGAGAACAUCCUCCAGGGCAUUUAGAGUCAAGUGUGCUCAUGGCAGCAGGGCAUGCCCCGAGCUGCCUUCACAGAGCUAAUCCAACCUCUGGGGCGUGCAGGGUUUCUCCAAGUCCUGCAGGAGUGGUCUGGGAGCGUCGUGGUGGGGCUGCACAAGAAAUCACCUGCAGGAACUCAAAAAUGGCCAUUAAUGUGACUGACGGAAGGGCUGGGGACCUUGUGCUGAGCUUCAGAAGGAGGUGGGUGAAUCAGAUGCUCUGCCUCAUUCCCUGCAGUUGUGCCAGCAUCGCUGCAAGCCGAUGAGCUCACUCAUGUGUCUGUCCCAGCCAGUCACUGCCACACAGUGCAGCCCAAAGGGCCCAUCCCUGCCCAGCAGCCACUGGCUCGUCCCAGUCACUGUCAUCUCCGCUGCAGGCGCUCCUCAUCUUCAUCCCUGCCAUGGGCUGCCCUCCAUCCCCGUCUCUUGGGUUCAGAAACCUGAAGAAAACCUCAGGGUUUGCUCAGGGCUUGUUUUCCAUCUCUUCUGCCCUUUUC